CCCGGGUACAGGAUUGUAAGUGUCACUUGACCAACACCGUCCUGAGCUCAUGUUUAGGAUUUUAGCCAAUAGUUUUGGGUCAAGCCCUAACCUGUCAAAGGUCAAAGAAAAGCACAAGUUAGAACUCCAGUCAUCAUGU
Molecule: long non-coding RNA, 139 nt
Organism: Leopardus geoffroyi (Geoffroy's cat)
Lineage: Eukaryota; Metazoa; Chordata; Mammalia; Carnivora; Felidae
Exons: 3
Source: RefSeq, a predicted model, not a curated record